Long non-coding RNA from Helianthus annuus (common sunflower), 1222 nucleotides. RefSeq lists it as uncharacterized. The record is from RefSeq and is a predicted model, not a curated record. The transcript has 8 exons. Lineage: Eukaryota; Viridiplantae; Streptophyta; Magnoliopsida; Asterales; Asteraceae.
UAAAAUUUCCCCCAAAUCAUUUCCCUCCCAUCCAAAUGUCUUCCCUCCGAUCAAUAACAAAACCCUAGCCACACAUCAAAGUAGAAUCACAUAUCUGGUUCACAAAAGAUGACCUUAAUCUUCACAGGUGUUUCAUUGACCUCCGUUCUUCAUCUUCAAACCCUAGCCAAACAGGUAACUCGUCGAUAUCACUGGUAAUGGUUCUAAUUUCACUAAAGUCAAUUUUGUCUUUGUUGAUUUCACUAACCAUCUUUGUUUUUUAUUUUGAUUGCUGUUGGUCGGAAGAGCCAUCUUCGGUUCAUCUUUGUUGGACAUCGGUUUAUUGGUUCAUCCUUUUCAAUUUGCUCCCAAGCCCUAAGUCAGUAACUUUUGGAACUCUAUUUGACUCUCUUUUUUUAUAUAUGAUGAUCCUAGUAUCCCAUAUACAUGCCUGAUCACUAAUGGAACAAAAUGGGUUAAAAUGCCAAACAAAAAGAUGGCACCCUUUGUGCUGCCAGGCAUGCUGGUGCCUUUGUGAGAGGAUAUGAUGUUAUUCACAAACUAUUUAGAGAGCUGGCUUACCGAUAAAAGGUAGGAGGAUAUACAAGAGUAAGCAAGCGCUUUUGGCGCCUAGGCGCUUCUUCUGGGCGAUUCGCAUUUACUACGCUUAUGGUUCCCAGUAUUUAUAGGUCUUUAAGUUUAAACAGAUGAUAUAAGUUCAUAUUAUCAGAUUUUUCAGUUCGAAUUAUCAACAUUAUUCGGUUCGUAUUAUCAAGAUUAUUAAGUUCUUUUGGCUUUCAACCCACCAACCCAUUAACAUCCAAAGUGGCCUUGCAGGGUGAUAUUUAUGAGCAAAGAACCCAAUUUGCGUAGGUUAAGCUACAUAAAUACUAACGUGUACCAAAUAAACAUGAUUGGAUAGUUGUUCAUUUUGGAUACUUCAAGUGGCUGGUAAAUUUUACAAGCUGGGUUGUCAUUCCUUGUCAUCAACAGAAAAAGAAUAAAUUCGUUUCAAUUGGUUUUGUUAAAAGAUUACGCGAGUAGCCCAAGGGUAGGGUAGAUAUCAUGAGAAACUUUGGAGCUAAGUUCUAAGACAGUGAAAUUCUCACCAAAAAGAACGUUUAGACUCAUCGUGUAAACAUUAGGAGUUUGGAAUGUCACUUAUUACACAAUGUUUUGCUAACAUUUGAAUUAUGUUUCGGAUCAAGCUCAUUGUUGAAGUUAUAGUAGUAUGAUUUCCACA